CUCAUGGUUUCACGGUAUUGCAAUGAGAACAAUUUAAAACCCUUAGCGAGAAUCAAGUGGAGGACAAGUCUGGUGCCAGCACCCGCGGUAAUUCCAGCUCCACUAGCGUAUAUUAAAGUUGUUGCAGUUAAAAAGCUCGUAGUUGAACCUCUGUCUGGGGCUAGUUUUGGCUUUGGUCAGGCUAGUUCUAGGCAUCCUCCUACAAGACUUAGAGGGCAUUCAGUUGUUCACUAGGAGGAGUAGGCAUUUUACUUUGAAAAAAUUAGAGUGUUUAAGGCAGGCAAUCGCCCGCAUAUAUUAGCAUGGAAUAAUAGAAUAGGACACUUUUCCAUUUCGUUGGUUAUUGGAAUCGUGUAAUGAUUAAUAGGGACAGUUGUGGGCAUUUGUAUUUAAUUGUCAGAGGUGAAAUUCUUGGAUUUAUUAAAGACAAACUAACGCGAAAGCAUUUGCCAAGGAUGUUUUCAUUAAUCAAGAACGAAAGUUAGGGGAUCAAAGACGAUCAGAUACCGUCCUAGUCUUAACUAUAAACUAUUCCGACUCAAUGUUUGACUGGCUUAUAUAACCAGUUGAGCGUUGUAUGAGAAAUCAAAGUCUUUAGGUUCUGGGGGGAGUAUGGUUGCAAAGCUGAAACUUAAAGGAAUUGACGGAAGAGCACAACCAGGAGUGGAUUCUGCGGCUUAAUUUGACUCAACACGGGGAAACUUACCAGGUUAAAACAAUAGUGGGAUUGACAGUUUGAGAGCGCUUUCUUGAUUGGUUGGGUGGUGGUGCAUGGCCGUUCUUAGUUGGUGGAGUGAUUUGUCUGCUUAAUUGCGUUAACGAACGAGACCUUAACCUGCUUACUAGACUGGCGAUCAUCAAUCGUUAGCUCUUCUUAGAGGGACUUUGGUUGUUUUAACUCCAAGGAAGUUUGAGGCAAUAACAGGUCUGUGAUGCCCUUAGAUAUCCUGGGCCGCACGCGUCAUACAAUGACUAGUUCAGAAAGUUUUCUCCUGACCCGAAAGGGGAUGGGUAAUCUUGAUAAUACUAGUCGUGUUAGGGAUCGAUCUUUGCAAUUAUAGAUCUUGAACGAGGAAUUCCUAGUAAGUGCGGUUCAUCAGACCGUACUGAUUACGUCCCUGCUCUUUGUACACACCGCCCGUCGCUUCUACCGAGUGGGUGGUCCGGUGAGAUAAUUGAACUUCGCGGGUAACUGAGAGGAAAGAUUAUCAAACCUAUCCACCUCGAGGAAGAAGAAGUCGUAACAAGG
This 1249-nucleotide ribosomal RNA is filed under the name metagenome. Its description in RNAcentral is "SSU rRNA". It matches the Rfam family "Eukaryotic small subunit ribosomal RNA", at positions 493 to 1799 of the family's 1831-position model. The record is from RNAcentral.